RNAcentral lists this long non-coding RNA (424 nucleotides) under Rattus norvegicus (Norway rat). RNAcentral describes it as "long non-coding RNA NONRATT016778". The record is from RNAcentral. Lineage: Eukaryota; Metazoa; Chordata; Mammalia; Rodentia; Muridae.
UGGAGCGGCGAGUGCCGAGUCUCGAUGACUUCGCGGGACAGAGCUGGAGCUCGUGGGUGGAGCGGGCCGACCUGCCUGCGGCAGACGAAACUGAGGUACAAGGGCAACCCCUGGACAAAGCCCCCCCAAGAAGGGGAGGGGCUUGCGUAGCUGAUCAAGGAGACUUUGAAGAUGCCAAAGGGUCCAAAGACAGCAGUUUCUCUACUCUAUGGCCAUCCUAUCAGUGCAGGACCUGAGAAGCUGAGUGUAACUUUGAUGAUACUAUGGUAACUUGGGUGGAGCAAACUGAGUUUAUGGGGGUGGGGAUCUGGGAGGGUAUUUGUCUGGGAUGCCACAGAGUAGUAGAAAGGACCCAUGUAAGCAGUCUCAAAAGGGACCUGUAGAAAAAUUUUAGAACCAUUUCCCUUUUAAAUGGGGGAAGCAA